UGCCUUAGUAACUGCGAGUGAAGCGGCAAAAGCUCAAAUUUGAAAUGAGGCCCGUUGAUUGUCUGAUUAAUCAGCUCUCGACCCCUCAGUUGUAAUUUAGAGGAUUGCCAUGGUGAUAGCGCCCAUACGAAGUUCUUUGGAACAAGACACCAAUGAGGGUGAUAGUCCCGUCAGAUGAAAAAUGGUGCGCUACGGUGUCCGAUAUGGCAUAUCCGACGAGUCGAGUUGUUUGGGAAUGCAGCUCAAAAUGGGUGGUAAAUUUCAUCUAAAGCUAAAUACAGGCUGGAGACCGAUAGCGAACAAGUAGAGUGAUCGAAAGAUGAAAAGCACUUUGAAAAGAGAGUUAAAUAGUACGUGAAAUUGUUGAAAGGGAAGCGCUUGAGACCAGAUUCGGCUGGCGGUGUUCAUCCAUGCAAAUUUCUGCAUGGUGUAUGUGCCGUUGGUUGAGCCAGCAUCGGUUCUAAUGGCGGGAUAAAGGUUCGAGGAAUGUGGCUCCAAAAUUAUGCGGAGUGUUAUAGCCUUGAGUGCAAUGUCGCCUAUUGGAAUCGAGGACCGCGCUUCGGCUAGGAUGUUGGCUAAAAGGUCUUAAGCGGCCCGUCUUGAAACACGGACCAAGGAGUCUAACAUCUAUGCGAGUGUUUUGGCGUGAAACCAUUGCGCGUAAUGAAAGUGAACGAGGUGGGAACCCCAAGUUGGGGUGCACCAUCGACCGAUCCUGAAGUUUACGGAAGGAUUUGAGUAGAAGCAUAGCUGUUGGGACCCGAAAGAUGGUGAACUAUGCCUGAAUAGGGUGAAGCCAGAGGAAACUCUGGUGGAGGCUCGCAGCGGUUCUGACGUGCAAAUCGAUCGUCAAAUUUGGGUAUAGGGG
This 868-nucleotide ribosomal RNA is filed under the name Otidea propinquata. Its description in RNAcentral is "eukaryotic LSU rRNA". It matches the Rfam family "Eukaryotic large subunit ribosomal RNA", at positions 76 to 923 of the family's 3401-position model. The record is from RNAcentral. Lineage: Eukaryota; Fungi; Ascomycota; Pezizomycetes; Pezizales; Pyronemataceae.